GGUGAAAAGCACCCCGGAAGGGGAGUGAAAUAGAACCUGAAACCGUGUGCUUACAAGUAGUCAGAGCCCGUUAAUGGGUGAUGGCGUGCCUUUUGUAGAAUGAACCGGCGAGUUACGAUUUGAUGCAAGGUUAAGCAGUAAAUGUGGAGCCGUAGCGAAAGCGAGUCUGAAUAGGGCGUUUAGUAUUUGGUCGUAGACCCGAAACCAGGUGAUCUACCCUUGGUCAGGUUGAAGUUCAGGUAACACUGAAUGGAGGACCGAACCGACUUACGUUGAAAAGUGAGCGGAUGAACUGAGGGUAGCGGAGAAAUUCCAAUCGAACCUGGAGAUAGCUGGUUCUCUCCGAAAUAGCUUUAGGGCUAGCCUCAAGUGAUGAUUAUUGGAGGUAGAGCACUGUUUGGACGAGGGGCCCCUCUCGGGUUACCGAAUUCAGACAAACUCCGAAUGCCAAUUAAUUUAACUUGGGAGUCAGAACAUGGGUGAUAAGGUCCGUGUUCGAAAGGGAAACAGCCCAGACCACCAGCUAAGGUCCCAAAAUAUAUGUUAAGUGGAAAAGGAUGUGGCGUUGCCCAGACAACUAGGAUGUUGGCUUAGAAGCAGCCAUCAUUUAAAGAGUGCGUAAUAGCUCACUAGUCGAGUGACACUGCGCCGAAA
This 654-nucleotide ribosomal RNA is filed under the name Staphylococcus aureus. RNAcentral describes it as "partial 23S ribosomal RNA". It matches the Rfam family "Bacterial large subunit ribosomal RNA", at positions 513 to 1169 of the family's 2925-position model. Lineage: Bacteria; Bacillati; Bacillota; Bacilli; Caryophanales; Staphylococcaceae. The record is from RNAcentral.